UCAAACGUGACAAGGUCCAAUUAAACAGUAAUUAAAACACAUUCCCAAGGUUCAAACAAUUUGAUUUUAGCGACUUAUCAUAUAGCUCAAUUAUCGUUUAAGGCAUAAGUCCAAAGUCAUCCAUUUUAUAACUACUUAAACACAUUUAAAUAAUCAUAAUGGAAUGCAACAUAAACAUUUAGAUUUAGUGCAUAUGGGCAUAAUAUAAUUAUGAGUUUAAACAACUAACAAAAUUAAAAUCAAAUAUUUUAACUUUCUAGUUAGCAGGGGCCUAAAUGUAAAUAUGAAAAGUUAGGGGUAAAACCGUAAAUAUUUCAAAGUAAAUAUCAACUUUUUAAAGAUUACAAAAUAGCCCCACAAGUGGAUAAAUCCACUAGGGAGGCCGGCCACAUUAAGGGGAUGGGAGUUCUCUUACACAAUCUUACACAACAUGCAUUAAAAGCCACAUUAUGUAAGAAAAAUUAAAUUUUGCUUGUCACUUGGUUUUGCAAUUAAAACUUAGGUGAGAUGGGUGAUGGAAAUCCUCCUAGUCAAGUCUAGGGUUUUAUAAGUUUUUAAUAUGGUUAUGGAUGGUAAGAACAUCAUCCAAAACCAUAAAAACCAUGCAUGAAAACCAAUUAAAACUAUUUUCACCCAAAACCAAACCAUGAACACCAAGAACAAAACCAUGAACACAAUUUCAAGAUUUGAACAUUCUUGGUGAUUUUUCAAACCCAAAAACAAAAGUGACAAGAACACUUCUUUUAAGCUUUAAUAGGAUGUGUGAGUGGUUUACAAUAAAACACAAACACAACCCAAAACCACCCCCAAAACCGUGCCUACCCUUUUGAACAAAACCCCAAAUUUUGUUCAUGACUUAUUCUUCAUUCAUGCAUACAAAACAACUUUUACAUGCAUAUCUUUUUCAACUCUUGAUUUACAUUUUUCAACCAUUGAAAAACAAAAGACAAACAUACUUUUAAAUGAAGAAAUAAUAUGUCUAACUAGUUCUAAACUCAUUUUUCAUUCAUGUAUACAAAACACUUUUGCAAACAUAUCUUUCUCAACUUUUGACUAACAUUUUUCAACUAUUGAAAAACAAAAGAUAAACAUACUUUGAAUGAAACAAUAAUAUGUCAUACAUAACAUUAAUACCCAUAUGCAUAAAAUCCAAAACGACACAUUAUACAUAAACCAUUGGCUCUGAUACCACUUGAAGGGAAAUUUAUGAGAUUCUAGAAUGGGAUUUCAUAAUGACUAUCAUGCAUAUACAAAUCAAAUUUAAUAUACGAAAGCAGCGGAAGCAUUUAUAACAUAUUAUCAAAGCUAUAGUCAUGCAAAUCCCCUUCAAGGUUCAUAGGUUUAUAUAUAAUGCAUCAAAACAAUUUUUUAGAAUCAAGAACAAAGUGAAGGUUAGUCUUAUACCUCUUGAUCUAGACUUAAGACCAUGGAUGGACCACCUCCAAGGCCUUUGCUCCUUGAAAUCCUUGAGCCUAGCUUCCCUCCUUGCCUCCUCCACUUUGUUACUAUGAGUGCUCCUAGGUUCUCUUCAAGUUCCCAAAGUAGGAAACCUCUAAAGAUCCUCACCCACUAGUGUAGUGAGAAGGAUGAAGGAAUAACCAAAAGGGUGUAAGAGAGGUUAGUAAAAACCCCCUUUGGUGGCCGGCCUUUGUGGUUCAAGAUGGCUAUUUUCUUUUGCCUCUUUUGUUGUUCAAAACUCACAAAAACCCUAAUGAACUUUAUCUCUAUAAAGUUGCUUAUAUAGACAAAAGAAACCUAGUCAACAACUUGACUAAAUAUCUCACCUUUCCUCACCUAAAGUGGCCGGCCCCUUUGUGUUGUUUUUGGGCUUUGGG
This 1835-nucleotide long non-coding RNA is filed under the name Malus domestica (apple). RNAcentral's name for it is "long non-coding RNA (MDOM_LNC020998)". The record is from RNAcentral. Lineage: Eukaryota; Viridiplantae; Streptophyta; Magnoliopsida; Rosales; Rosaceae.